This 62-nucleotide small nuclear RNA is filed under the name Camelus bactrianus (Bactrian camel). Its description in RNAcentral is "U7 small nuclear RNA". It matches the Rfam family "U7 small nuclear RNA". From Rfam's summary of the family: Animal histone pre-mRNAs are spliced by a different mechanism than nuclear pre-mRNAs and self-splicing introns. This processing involves the U7 snRNP, which contains only one RNA species: U7. The 5' end of U7 RNA is thought to base-pair to a conserved spacer element downstream of the cleavage site in histone pre-mRNA. Lineage: Eukaryota; Metazoa; Chordata; Mammalia; Artiodactyla; Camelidae. The record is from Rfam by way of RNAcentral. RNAcentral also lists the same sequence under 1 other name.
GAGUGUUACGGCUCUUUUAGAAUUCGUCUAGCACAUUUUCCGGUCCACACUGGAAAGCCCCC